This 417-nucleotide ribosomal RNA is filed under the name uncultured bacterium. Its description in RNAcentral is "bacterial SSU rRNA". It matches the Rfam family "Bacterial small subunit ribosomal RNA", at positions 358 to 773 of the family's 1533-position model. The record is from RNAcentral.
GGAAUAUUGGACAAUGGGUGGAAGCCUGAUCCAGCCAUGCCGCGUGCAGGAAGACGGCCUUCUGGGUUGUAAACUGCUUUUGCCAGGGGAUAAAAUACCCAUGCGUGGGGAAUUGCAGGUACCUGGUGAAUAAGCCCCGGCUCACUACGUGCCAGCAGCCGCGGUAAUACGUAGGUGGCGAGCGUUGUCCGGAUUUAUUGGGUUUAAAGGGUGCGUAGGCGGCUUUUUAAGUCAGUGCUGAAAUACCCCGGCUUAACCGGGGGGGUGGCAUUGAUACUGGAGAGCUUGAGUUCAGUCGAGGUAGGCGGAAUUGACGGUGUAGCGGUGAAAUGCAUAGAUAUCGUCAAGAACACCGAUAGUGAAGACAGCUUACUGGAGUGAAACUGACGCUGAUGCACGAAAGUGUGGGGAUCAAAC